This 277-nucleotide ribosomal RNA is filed under the name uncultured bacterium. Its description in RNAcentral is "partial 16S ribosomal RNA". It matches the Rfam family "Bacterial small subunit ribosomal RNA", at positions 28 to 304 of the family's 1533-position model. The record is from RNAcentral.
GACAAACGCUGGCGGCGUACCUAAGACAUGCAAGUCGAACGGGACUUUCCGCUUCGGCGGGGAGUCGAGUGGCGGACGGGUGAGUAACGCGUAGGAACCUGUCCUUGAGUGGGGGAUACCAGCCGGAAACGGGUGCUAAUACCGCAUGUGGUCAUCACGGGAGACUGUGGUGAAGAAAGGCGAAAGCCGCUCUGAGGAGGGGCCUGCGUCCGAUUAGCUAGUUGGAGUGGUAAGAGCACACCAAGGCGACGAUCGGUAGCUGGUCUGAGAGGAUGGU